Molecule: ribosomal RNA, 207 nt
Filed under: uncultured bacterium
Lineage: Bacteria
Description: partial 16S ribosomal RNA
Rfam family: Bacterial small subunit ribosomal RNA
Source: RNAcentral
CGCGUAGGCGGUGCGGUAAGUCACCUGUGAAACCUCUGGGCUCAACUCAGAGCCUGCAGGCGAAACUGCCGUGCUGGAGUGUGGGAGAGGUGCGUGGAAUUCCCGGUGUAGCGGUGAAAUGCGUAGAUAUCGGGAGGGACACCUGUGGCGUAGACAGCUUACUGGACCAUCACUGACGCUGAGACACGAAAGCGUGGGUAGCAAACA